AUGCAAGAAGUGGAGGAGUUUGGAUUUGAGAUAAUGAUUCAAAUUAUGAAUAAGACUACAAAUAAUAUCUUGGAAAAUGACCUCAAGCCACAAUACUUGUGAUUGGCUUCACUAGUUGACUUUGAAGUGUUUCUGGUGCCAUCACAAUCUACAUAUAGGCUGGCCAAGGUGCUGCAGGAAAGUGAACAAGGAAGAGAGCAAGAAAUUUUGCCUUACAAACACCACUAGAAGUUAGAACCAAGUGGAAGAAAGUAGAUGGCGGGCAGGUCCGUUAAAAGUUCAUGUUUAUUUUCUGGAUUACUGGUUGGAAUAGGACUUCUAAAGCUAGAGAUAGUUCAUCAAACUAAACAUUGAGUCGUCCAUAGUUUGAAUGGCGAAAUUGUGUUUCCAUGCCUGAAUUAAAGUUACUGGAGGAAGGAAAAAGUGGUUUUGGGCCACACUGUUUAGUUGUGUUAAAUUUGAUGCAUAUUCGAAUUAUAUAUUUCCUUGGAAUUCCAUAGGAAGAUAAGGACUGCAAUGCAAAAGUAGUUUAGAUUAGCAGAGAAAUGAAGUAGCCUCAGGCGUGCCGCUUGUAUGACCCGGAGUCCAGACUCCAAGU
Molecule: small RNA, 598 nt
Filed under: Malus domestica (apple)
Lineage: Eukaryota; Viridiplantae; Streptophyta; Magnoliopsida; Rosales; Rosaceae
Description: sRNA MD02G0234400
Source: RNAcentral